RNAcentral lists this ribosomal RNA (771 nucleotides) under uncultured Neocallimastigales. RNAcentral's name for it is "partial large subunit ribosomal RNA". It matches the Rfam family "Eukaryotic large subunit ribosomal RNA", at positions 24 to 628 of the family's 3401-position model. Lineage: Eukaryota; Fungi; Neocallimastigomycota; Neocallimastigomycetes; Neocallimastigales. The record is from RNAcentral.
GUAGUCUCGCACAGAUGCAUAUCAAUAAGCGGAGGAAAAGAAACUAACAAGGAUUCCCUCAGUAACGGCGAGUGAAGCGGGAAGAGCUCAAAUUUGAAAUCUUGAAAGGUCACCUUUCACGAAUUGUAGUUUAAAGAAGUGUUUUCUGUUACGAUCGUAAUAUAAGUUCUUUGGAAUAGGACAUCACAGAGGGUGAGAAUCCCGUCUAUGAUUGCGAUUUGUAGCUUUGUGAUACACUUUCAAAGAGUCGGGUUGUUUGGGAAUGCAGCCCAAAACGGGAGGUAAAUUUCUUCUAAGGCUAAAUAUUGGCGAGAGACCGAUAGCGAACAAGUACCGUGAGGGAAAGAUGAAAAGAACUUUGAAAAGAGAGUUAAAUAGUACGUGAAAUUGUCAAAAGGGAAGCGUUUAACACCAGUGUUGUUUUCUGAAAAUCAACCUCUGUUAGCUUUAUGCAUGUUUGUUUAGACCUAAUCAGCUAUCUUGCAUGUUCUAUUGUUUGCAGUGGUGCACUUUUCAGUUUACAGGUCAACAUCAGUUUUUUUUACCGUAAAAAAGUUAAAGAAAGGUAGCUCAUGGCUCCGGUCGUGAGUGUUAUAGUCUUUUUCCUAUGCGGUAGGAGAGACUGAGGUCUGCAGUGUAGGCUAUUUAGCUAGAUACUCAGGUGCUAUGUGAUACCAUUUCAUAAACAACUUGUUGAUUAUGUUUUGUCUAUUGCAUACUCGCUUGUACUAUCAUACCUACGCUUAGGAUGUUGAGUCGUAGAGCACGCAG